GACAGCAGUCGCCGCGGUAAUACAGAGGGUGCGAGCGUUAAUCGGAUUUACUGGGCGUAAAGCGUGCGUAGGCGGCUAAUUGAGUCGGAUGUGAAAUCCCCGAGCUUAACUUGGGAAUUGCAUUCGAUACUGGUUAGCUAGAGUGUGGGAGAGGAUGGUAGAAUUCCAGGUGUAGCGGUGAAAUGCGUAGAGAUCUGGAGGAAUACCGAUGGCGAAGGCAGCCAUCUGGCCUAACACUGACGCUGAGGUACGAAAGCAUGGGGAGCAAACAGGAUUAGAUACCCCCGUAGUCCCUGUCUCUUAUAC
RNAcentral lists this ribosomal RNA (306 nucleotides) under uncultured bacterium. RNAcentral's name for it is "partial 16S ribosomal RNA". It matches the Rfam family "Bacterial small subunit ribosomal RNA", at positions 507 to 807 of the family's 1533-position model. The record is from RNAcentral.